This 885-nucleotide ribosomal RNA is filed under the name Russula cutefracta. RNAcentral's name for it is "eukaryotic LSU rRNA". It matches the Rfam family "Eukaryotic large subunit ribosomal RNA", at positions 82 to 943 of the family's 3401-position model. Lineage: Eukaryota; Fungi; Basidiomycota; Agaricomycetes; Russulales; Russulaceae. The record is from RNAcentral.
AGUAACUGCGAGUGAAGCGGGAAAAGCUCAAAUUUAAAAUCUGAUGGCCCUUCCGUCAUCCGAGUUGUAAUUUAGAGAAGCGUCUUCCGCGCUGGACCGUGCAUAAGUCUCCUGGAACGGAGCGUCAUAGAGGGUGAGAAUCCCGUCUUUGGCAUGGACCCCAGGGCUUCCGUGAUGCGCUCUCGAAGAGUCGAGUUGUUUGGGAAUGCAGCUCAAAAUGGGUGGUGAACUCCAUCUAAAGCUAAAUAUUGGCGAGAGACCGAUAGCGAACAAGUACCGUGAGGGAAAGAUGAAAAGCACUUUGGAAAGAGAGUGAAACAGUACGUGAAAUUGUUGAAAGGGAAACGCUUGAAGUCAGUCGCGUCGACCGAGACUCAGCCUUGCCUCGGCUUGGUGUACUUCUCGGCUGACGGGUCAGCAUCGAUUUUGACCCUUGGAUAAUGGUGGGGGAAAGGUGGCACCUUUACGGGUGUGUUAUAGUCCCCUAUCGGAUGUGGGGGUUAGGAUCGAGGAAUUCAGCAUGCGCCUCUCGGCGUCGGGGCCUUGGCCCACGUCUACAUGCUUAGGAUGCUGGCAUAAUGGCUUUAAACGACCCGUCUUGAAACACGGACCAAGGAGUCUAACAUACCCGCGAGUGUUCGGGUGGAAAACCCGUGCGCGCAAUGAAAGUAAAAGUUGGGACCUCUGUCGUGGAGGGCACCGACGCCUGGACCAGACCUUCUGUGACGGCUCUACGGUAGAGCGUGUAUGUUGGGACCCGAAAGAUGGUGAACUAUGCCUGAAUAGGGUGAAGCCAGAGGAAACUCUGGUGGAGGCUCGUAGCGAUUCUGACGUGCAAAUCGAUCGUCAAAUUUGGGUAUAGGGGCGAAAGACUAAUCGAACCAU